RNAcentral lists this ribosomal RNA (901 nucleotides) under Mycobacterium sp. RNAcentral describes it as "bacterial SSU rRNA". It matches the Rfam family "Bacterial small subunit ribosomal RNA", at positions 84 to 996 of the family's 1533-position model. The record is from RNAcentral. Lineage: Bacteria; Bacillati; Actinomycetota; Actinomycetes; Mycobacteriales; Mycobacteriaceae.
GGGGUACUCGAGUGGCGAACGGGUGAGUAACACGUGGGUGAUCUGCCCUGCACUUUGGGAUAAGCCUGGGAAACUGGGUCUAAUACCGAAUAUUUCCUUCUGGUCGCAUGGCUGGGAGGGGAAAGCUUUUGCGGUGUGGGAUGGGCCCGCGGCCUAUCAGCUUGUUGGUGAGGUUAUGGCUUACCAAGGCGACGACGGGUAGCCGGCCUGAGAGGGUGACCGGCCACACUGGGACUGAGAUACGGCCCAGACUCCUACGGGAGGCAGCAGUGGGGAAUAUUGCACAAUGGGCGCAAGCCUGAUGCAGCGACGCCGCGUGGGGGAUGACGGCCUUCGGGUUGUAAACCUCUUUCAAUAGGGACGAAGCGCAAGUGACGGUACCUAUAGAAGAAGGACCGGCCAACUACGUGCCAGCAGCCGCGGUAAUACGUAGGGUCCGAGCGUUGUCCGGAAUUACUGGGCGUAAAGAGCUCGUAGGUGGUUUGUCGCGUUGUCCGUGAAAACUCACAGCUUAACUGUGGGCGUGCGGGCGAUACGGGCAGACUUGAGUACUGCAGGGGAGACUGGAAUUCCUGGUGUAGCGGUGGAAUGCGCAGAUAUCAGGAGGAACACCGGUGGCGAAGGCGGGUCUCUGGGCAGUAACUGACGCUGAGGAGCGAAAGCGUGGGGAGCGAACAGGAUUAGAUACCCUGGUAGUCCACGCCGUAAACGGUGGGUACUAGGUGUGGGUUUCCUUCCUUGGGAUCCGUGCCGUAGCUAACGCAUUAAGUACCCCGCCUGGGGAGUACGGCCGCAAGGCUAAAACUCAAAGAAAUUGACGGGGGCCCGCACAAGCGGCGGAGCAUGUGGAUUAAUUCGAUGCAACGCGAAGAACCUUACCUGGGUUUGACAUGCACAGGAC